This 253-nucleotide ribosomal RNA is filed under the name uncultured bacterium. Its description in RNAcentral is "partial 16S ribosomal RNA". It matches the Rfam family "Bacterial small subunit ribosomal RNA", at positions 524 to 776 of the family's 1533-position model. The record is from RNAcentral.
UACAGAGGGUGCAAGCGUUAAUCGGAAUUACUGGGCGUAAAGCGUGCGUAGGCGGAUAUUUAAGUCGAAUGUGAAAUCCCCGGGCUUAACCUGGGAACUGCAUCCGAUACUGAGUAUCUGGAGUAUAGUAGAGGAAAGUGGAAUUCCCGGUGUAGCGGUGAAAUGCGUAGAUAUCGGGAGGAACAUCAGUGGCGAAGGCGACUUUCUGGACUAAUACUGACGCUGAGGCACGAAAGCGUGGGGAGCAAACAGG